UAUUCUUGCCACUUUUAGCAAAUACAUCACAGGUGAUCAUUACAAUGUUAUCGCAUCACAGGUUUAAGUCCUGCUGUUCCUGCUGUGAUGAGAGGAAAUACAGUAGAUUGGCUUUAUGCUUCCUGGACAAGCUGACAUGAUGAAGCGCGGUCACCAACAGCCUUCUGACAGCAAGCUAUUCCUAAAGCCACGUCUGGCUUUCAUCUUGCAGCUGGGCCAGGAAGUGGAAAGUGUUUGCUUGGCACAUUUAGCCCUGACUCUCUAAGACGAACAUUAACAGACAAACACAGACUCAUAGAAAACUGUCAAAGGUCUGAACUCUGAAAAGCAUUUGUAGCAGGGAAAAAAAAGUCCCAUUUCAGUUACUUUUUUUCAUGGAAACAAUGUGAUUUAACAUUUAUAAAGCCUUUGGCAACUCCUAUUUACGUACGCAAGUAUCUAUGCAUUGUCACAGAAACAGAGGCUUCAUAUUGCACAGAAAAAAGCAAGGACAUAUGAAGCAAAUGAUGGGACAAAUGAGAAAAAUGAUAGACCAAGAAGCGACUUUUUAACACACCUUGAUGCCUUUUUAAAGUGAGUUUACGAAGCAGAGGAAGGGCAGAUUCAACCCCUUCAUCCAGCACUGUUCAGGUAUAUCCAAAGAAACCAAAAUGUUUCCUGCAAAUACCCUUUGUGGGAUUCUUCAUAUAAAAAGAAAAAUCUCAUAUUUCAAUCUGAUAAUUUCGUUGACAUUUACUACACUCUGAUUCUUAUGCAAAAUAAGAAAACCCCCAGUAACUAGAAUCCCUUACAAAAAGCAUUCAUACCUGUCGAACCUUUUCUCAUUUAAUCAUGUAACAAAUACAGACCAAAUUGGAUUUCAAUGGGAUUUCUAGUGAUAUAGCAACACAAAGUAGUGCUAAACUAUGAAGUGGAAGUGAAAUGAUACAUUUUUUCCCCCACAAUUAAUCUAAAAAAAUGUAAAAUGCAUUUGCAUUUAGCCCUGAUAUCCCUAAAUAAAUCCCUGUACAAAUGAUAACCCCCAAAAUUAAUCUAUUUAGUACAUUUAAAUUGUGUCCAAUUUAAAUUCAACAUAAAUCCAGCUGUUCUGUGAAGGCUUGAGAGGUUUAUAAGAGAAUAUUAAUGAAUAAGCAGCAUCAUUACAGCCAAGGAAAACAGCAGAAAAAAGUCUGAGACCAAACUUGAAAGUUGCUUUUCAAUCUGACUGAAUUUAAGCUAUUUUGCAGGUUUGUGGAGGUAGCGGACACAUAAAAAGACUUUGCGUUGGUCUAUCACAUAAAAUCCAUUAAAAUACGCUGAAGUUUGUGGUUGUAACAUGACAGUGUGUGAAUACUUUUUCAAGGUCUUUUCAUACAUAGCACACCAACACACGACCCUGCACUUUAUAAGCUGUCCUAUCCUAACUGUGAAGCAUAUUCUUGUCAUUGUAGUUAAUGUGAAAGUAAGUAUGGCAUGUUGUGACAUUAAGCCCCAUUUCUCUGAAGUUUUAGUUGUUUUUUUUUAUGAUGCACAAAUCUGGAAAACACAUCCUAUUUGACGUUUUCUAUCAUGGCUACAUCUCUUGUUGAUUCUUUUUGUUCCUUAUGUUGUUUCCUACGUAACAAUGCUUUCAUGUACGAUGCACAGACAAGCAGGAAUA
Poecilia latipinna (sailfin molly) is the source of this 1639-nucleotide long non-coding RNA. RefSeq lists it as uncharacterized. The transcript has 2 exons. NCBI's taxonomy places the organism in Eukaryota, Metazoa, Chordata, Actinopteri, Cyprinodontiformes, Poeciliidae. The record is from RefSeq and is a predicted model, not a curated record.